Molecule: ribosomal RNA, 194 nt
Filed under: uncultured bacterium
Lineage: Bacteria
Description: partial 16S ribosomal RNA
Rfam family: Bacterial small subunit ribosomal RNA
Source: RNAcentral
CCUACGGGAGGCAGCAGUGGGGAAUAUUGCACAAUGGGCGAAAGCCUGAUGCAGCCAUGCCGCGUGUGUGAAGAGGGCCUUCGGGUUGUAAAGCACUUUCAGCGAGGAGGAAAGGUUAGUAGUUAAUAACUGCUAGCUGUGACGUUACUCGCAGAAGAAGCACCGGCUAACUUCGUGCCAGCAGCCGCGGUAAU